GCCAGUGUGGCAUAGUGGUUUGAGCACUGGACUAUGACUCUGGAGAUCAGGGUCCAAUUCCCCGCUCAGCCA
Molecule: non-coding RNA, 72 nt
Organism: Phrynosoma platyrhinos (Desert horned lizard)
Lineage: Eukaryota; Metazoa; Chordata; Lepidosauria; Squamata; Phrynosomatidae
Source: the annotation of a GenBank genome assembly